This is a non-coding RNA of Oenanthe melanoleuca, 1665 nucleotides long. The record is from the annotation of a RefSeq genome assembly. NCBI's taxonomy places the organism in Eukaryota, Metazoa, Chordata, Aves, Passeriformes, Muscicapidae.
UCCCUUGUCUGUUCUUACAAACACGUGCCCCGAAGGACAAUUCUGAAAUCCCCACGUCCCAGUGGAAAGGGAACGGGAAGGAAUAGACGGCGGGGGAGAGGGGAGAAAAGAAUCGGUGGGUCCUGUGCUCCCCGGGACAAACGGCUCCCGCUCGGCGCACCUGGCCCCGCUGUCUCCGUGGGCCGCAGCUCCGAUCGCUGCCCCGCUCCCACCGCUCUCCUCCCCCCGCACCCAGCCAGGAGCCGGCGAGAGCCCGAGCGGCACCGGCGCAGGGCUGAGCCCCGGGGCGGAGCUGGCGGCGGGGGAGGGCAGAGCGAAGGAGAGAAGCGGCGCUGGCGGAGCAGAGAGCCGGGGCUGAGGGGGCAGCGAGGCUCGGCCGGCGCCAUGCGGCGGUGCCGGGGCGCGGGGCUGGCGGCGCUGGGCGCGCUGCUGCUCGUGGCUGUGGCCAGAGCCCAGGUACAGCAGGAGCCAUUCCUGGAGACCGACGAGGGCACUGGAAUCAAUAUCAGCUGCUCACAUCCCCAAAUCCAGACUAGCGAAACUAUUUUCUGGUACCGUCAGCUCCCGGGCCGAGGACCCGAACUCCUCGUGAGCGUUCACAAAGGGGUCAGAGAGCUGCCGGACAUCUCAGGAAAGCUGUCGGUGUCGGCAGAUCGGCGAUGGAGCGCGCUGUGGCUCGGGCGGCCCCGGCGCGGGGACGCGGCCGUGUAUUACUGCGCGCUGGGCCACGGGCAGAGGAGCCGGGGCUGCGGCCGGGCACGAACCGCCGCGGGCGGGGCCGGGCGGGGCCGGCAGGGGCCGCUCCGCUCCCGGCUGACGCCGCUGGGCGGGACCGGCCCCGAGCCGAGGCUGGAACCCGCGGGACCCCGGCCGGGAGCGAACACGGGCCUGGCCUUCCAUGAGAGACCCCUCCGAGCACAGGGAUGCUGCCCUGCAAUGUGUACAAAACAAUUCUGAUGGACAGGAGCAUUUCAUUAGCUGUCAAGGGAAUCAGGAAAUGUAUUUCUGAGUCUAUUGGCAGCCAAAGAAAGGCUCAGAAGAUGUUGGCUCGUUGCUCGCUGACGAAGUCCUGCUGAAAUGACAAGGAAAAGGCUGGCACAGUCAGUGCCUUUUUGCCCACAUUUUACCUUCAGACUGCUCUCCUCAGUUCCAUCACAUCGCCGAGCUUCCCUGAAGAUUUCUGGGAAUAAAUCAGUAUCCAGAGUAGAGGAAGAUGUAACUAAAGAACUCCCACUGCACAUACACCAGUCCACAUUGUCACAAACACACCCAAAGAGUAACUCAUAGUCCUGCAUUUAUGAAGAGAUGUGUGCAAACCUAUUUCCAAAGCAGAUCCAAGCACUGACAAUUCUCCUUCUGGCACAUCCCCAUCGAUGUGCAAACACUCACACUCACUCCCAUUCCUGCUCCUGCACCCAAGUCUUUGCACGCACAUCUACGGGAACAUUCCUGACCAGAGAUGUGCACACAUAAAGCAAAUCCCAGGAUGUAUCUAUUCCCAAACACGCAUACACCUUCCCUUCUUCCCUCCUCAGCUCACCCUGAUGCUCAGCGGUUUUUGCCUCCUGAUGGGUCAGCACUGGGCUGCUGGUUUCAAUCCUGCCCUGUUAAAACUGCCUUCAGGAAAUUAUUCGGGCCUCGUUGGACAUCUUACCCUCUGUUCAG